CACACCGCCCGUCACACCAUGGGAGUUGGUUCUACCCGAAGGCGCUGCGCUAACCCGCAAGGGAGGCAGGCGACCACGGUAGGGUCAGCGACUGAGGUG
Molecule: ribosomal RNA, 99 nt
Filed under: uncultured bacterium
Lineage: Bacteria
Description: partial 16S ribosomal RNA
Rfam family: Bacterial small subunit ribosomal RNA
Source: RNAcentral